RNAcentral lists this ribosomal RNA (436 nucleotides) under Arthrobacter sp. RNAcentral describes it as "bacterial SSU rRNA". It matches the Rfam family "Bacterial small subunit ribosomal RNA", at positions 67 to 507 of the family's 1533-position model. The record is from RNAcentral. Lineage: Bacteria; Bacillati; Actinomycetota; Actinomycetes; Micrococcales; Micrococcaceae.
CGAUGAACCUCACUUGUGGGGGGAUUAGUGGCGAACGGGUGAGUAACACGUGAGUAACCUGCCCUUGACUCUGGGAUAAGCCUGGGAAACCGGGUCUAAUACUGGAUACGACCUUCUGGCGCAUGCCAUGUUGGUGGAAAGCUUUUGUGGUUUUGGAUGGACUCGCGGCCUAUCAGCUUGUUGGUGGGGUAAUGGCCUACCAAGGCGACGACGGGUAGCCGGCCUGAGAGGGUGACCGGCCACACUGGGACUGAGACACGGCCCAGACUCCUACGGGAGGCAGCAGUGGGGAAUAUUGCACAAUGGGCGCAAGCCUGAUGCAGCGACGCCGCGUGAGGGAUGAAGGCCUUCGGGUUGUAAACCUCUUUCAGUAGGGAAGAAGCCGGCCCUUGGGUUGGUGACGGUACCUGCAGAAGAAGCGCCGGCUAACUACGUG